GACGGGGGGGGCAAGUGUUCUUCGGAUUGACUGGGCGUAAAGGGCGCGUAGGCGGUUUGUACAGUCAGACGUGAAAUUCCCGGGCUCAACCUGGGGGCUGCGUUUGAUACGUGCAGACUUGAGUUCGGAAGAGGGUCGUGGAAUUCCCAGUGUAGAGGUGAAAUUCGUAGAUAUUGGGAAGAACACCGGUGGCGAAGGCGGCGACCUGGUCCGAUACUGACGCUGAGGCGCGAAAGCGUGGGGAGCAAACAGG
Molecule: ribosomal RNA, 253 nt
Filed under: uncultured bacterium
Lineage: Bacteria
Description: partial 16S ribosomal RNA
Rfam family: Bacterial small subunit ribosomal RNA
Source: RNAcentral